CAUGAACACCGGUUCUGUAAUCUCUUGCAAAUUAUCAGUACUUCCCCAUCUACUCAACAUUCUCUCACAACGGUUGUAUGGCAACGAUUUGCUACUCCCUUUUCCCCUAAUUACUCCCCUUCUAUAUCUUCCAAUUUUCCUGUGCUUCUCCAUCUUUUCAAUCGCCCUCUCUACCUUCUUUGUUCUAUAGUUUUUAUUUGAAACAAUAUCUCUAAUUCCCUGAUAAUGUAUUCAUUAUUUACCCACGGCAUACUUACUUUACAAAUCAUGAACUAUUCGACGAAAAACAAAAUCAGGAAUCACAAACUGCUUCGGUGCACCCAACAAAUUUUGAGUCUGUGCGCUCAAUUAAUAUAGGUGUGGACGCACAAGGAAUACGAGGACAAAUAAACUUGUCCGCUCAACAAAUAUAGGUGUUGACGUACAAGGAAUACGAACAGAAAAUGCCAUUACGAGAUUGAG
This is a non-coding RNA of Nicotiana tabacum (common tobacco), 462 nucleotides long. The record is from RefSeq and is a predicted model, not a curated record. Lineage: Eukaryota; Viridiplantae; Streptophyta; Magnoliopsida; Solanales; Solanaceae.